This 3743-nucleotide unclassified non-coding RNA is filed under the name Leishmania donovani. RNAcentral's name for it is "gene:LdHU3.09.0630(CDS-product:hypothetical_prote in_conserved)". The record is from RNAcentral. Lineage: Eukaryota; Euglenozoa; Kinetoplastea; Trypanosomatida; Trypanosomatidae.
GAAGCGCGGCCGUCGUACAGACGCGCUUCGUUAGCAGCGUCAGUGUCUCCCCGCGCACGGGCGCAGACAGGCAGGCACGCACGCGUGUGGCUUUGCCCGAUCAGUUGAUCGGGGGCUGUUUUUCUCUUCCUCCUCCCCACCCCCACCCCCGCUCCCGUGCUGGAGGACGGCGGACAUCACCUACAGCAUCGUGCCGCGGUAUCCUGGGUCUUUGCAAUCUCUUUGACCCCGUACGAGCGGCUGCACGCGCUCCCUUAGAUAUAGACGUCACCAUCAUUGCAGUGGUGUGUGUGUGUGUGUGUGUGUGUGUGUGUGUGUGUGUGAAACGCUCGUAGAAGGAGAUCUGACGCCUGCGUCGCUCCCCUCACCUCCCCCACCACCACCACCCCUCUAUCCCGCACAUAUUUCCCACUUUUCGAGAAUGAGCAUCGCUCCCCGAGACCCUCGCCAGCCGCCACUGGCGACGAUCGCCACCCUCAGCAACGCUGGGCACGUGACCUCUCCCACGCCGAGCAUCAGCGCCGCACGUGGCGCGUCGCCGCCAGCGCAGCCUUACCUGCACCACACCACACCAUCCCGUAGCAACGCCCAGCUGCUGGCCGGCAUGAGCCCCACCACCAUGUCUUUCCUCUCAGGGCUGUCCGCCGGCCUUGCUCCAGGGACGCCGAGAGUCGCUGGCGUAGGGGCGACCGUCGAGCCGCCGAUGGAGAAGAGCACUGGUGAUGGGGCGCGCCAAAGCCCAUUGGGUGCAGCAUCAGCAGCGGCCGUUGCAACAAGCGACGAUAUUCUACGUGGCAUCUACAACGAGAAGCUGCAGGCCAGCGUCCGAAGCAUCAUCACGACUCUCACGACGGAGCUGCCGCAGGACCACAUUUUCCUUCAGCUGCUUGCGGACCCGACGACGCUGCAAUACUGCAAAGUGCGUCUCACUGAGGUCGUUGAAGGAUUCCUGUACUCGACGCAGGCAGAGCAGUACCAUACACUAGCCACCGAGCUCGCCCGAGGCGAGCGGGACUGUGCGCUGCUGCGCCAGCGAAUCGAAGAGCUCGAGGCCGCGCUGGCGGUGGCGAGUGUGCCGGUCCGAUCACCAACGCCGCCGCGGCAGGGGUUCUCGUCGCACGGAGGGAAAAGCGGCACCUGCGACGGCCACGCUCACCCGGCGGCGCCGGCGGGUUCGUCGUGGACCUCGUCGCCUACCAUGAUGCCCGCACCGGCAGCGGCAGCCCCAACCGCCUCCUCGGUCUCCCCCAGCAUCCCUGCCAACCCCAUGGAAAACGAGGAGGCGCGCCGCGAGCUGCUCCGUGUUCUCGAACAAGCCACGCACGACCAGGAGCUGCUCCGCUGCACCCAAGCGCUGCAAGCGGUCAGCAAAGUAGUCGACGUCGCCCAAGACGAGUCGCGCUGCGACGACAAGUACUUCUUCGAGGGGGAACUGCUAGGCGAGCUGUACAAGUGCGUCCACUCGCUGCUGCACUACGUCGACGGCGCACUGGAGAGUCAGGAACGACUGCGAUGCGAAAUCCAGGAGCAGCAGCAGCACUGGUUGCACGGCGUCGCCGCGGAGAGCAGCCACCAGGAUAUCGAUGACGGCGCCGCCGCUGGUAGUGCGGUGAGCGCCGACCGCUCUGCAUCAGUCUCCGCCGGCACAAAGGACAGCGGUACUCGUGGAGUGUUGGUCUCCGGCUAUUCGACGCCGCGACAUCCGCAGGUGUCAUUGGGAAACGCGGGCACGGCGCUGAUGAGCAGCGCCGUCGGCUCUCGCUUUUCGUCAGCCUCCUCCCCUGCCGCUGCUGAUCACACACGCCCCAUCCAGCAGCAACGGAAGCGGCUGCAGCGACUGGCAGAGCAGCUGCGAGAAGGACAGCAGCACGCCAGUCAGGUGCUCCAGACGCUGGCGCACAUGGAGAGCGCGCGUCGUCGUGAGGUGGCGCAGCUGGAGAUGGCAGUGGCCGCCGCGCGCGAAGAGGCGGCCGUCGCCACCAGCGCGGCAGAGAGCGCGCGGCAGGUGAAGGAGAAUUCGGAGCGGCUGCACGCCGAGCACGCGGCCUUUGUCGCCAGAGAGCGGACGGAGCUGCGCGACCAGCUGGCUGAUGUGCAUGCGCAGCUGGCAGCAGCGACACAAGACGUACACGCGGCGCGGCGUGAGUUGCGCAGCGCCACAAGUAGAGCCGAAGCGGCGGAGGAGAGAGAGAAAGACCUCGCCGCAGAGCUGGCUGCCCUCAAGGCUGCCAUGGCGCGCCGCGACGCGGAAUGGCAAGAGCAGAAAGCCGACCGCGUCGCUCGGCAGGCCGAGCUGACUGCUCUCAAAGCCGUGCAUCAGUCCACCGUCGACGCCCUUCAGGAUGCCGCACGGGAACUGCUGUGUCUGCGCGUAGAGGGAACAAUGGCGGGUCUUAGCGCUCUCUACCAGGAAGCGAAGGCCGCCAAGGCGGAGUUGCUAGAGCGCGAAGGCUAUCGACCUCUCUCCCACCGAUGCAGCAUUGCUGUAGCAACGCAGCAGGAAGUUGUGCGGCAUGCACAGGUGCAGUCUCAGCUGGCCGAAUCGGCGCAGGCAGAGCAGGCAGUGGCUCAGCGUGGGUGCAUGGAUGCACUUGGCAUGCUGCUGCGCUCCAUGUGGGCAGAUGAAGCUAUCGAGUCUGCGCUCACACCGUCGUCCGCGAGCACAGCCGCGCUGGUUGUCACUGGGACUCACUUGACAGACGGCAAGGACGCGAGAGAAGCACCCAGAGGCGGCCGCACACGCCGCGGCAGUCGCACCAGCAGUUGUGGCAGCACCACCAGCGGCAACGCGGAAGACCCUGGUGCAGAGAAUCCAAGAAGUUCGCACGGCUACCGCCUUCCCCAAACGCUGGCAGGACUCUGCACCUCCCUGGAGUACGCCUACAACAACGUCCGUGCCCGGCACCGUGCCAGACAGCAGACGAUCGACUCGCUGCGCGCUGCGCUGGUGAGCAAGGACAUCGAACUGCGCGCGGCACAGGCCAGCGAUGCACAGCUGCGAGAGCUGUUGAAGGCAGAGCAGGCCAAGGAGGAGCAAUGGAAGGCAGAGAUGGCGCAGCUUAGUGAUCAAAACCCGAUGCGAGGGCUGCUCGCCCGGCAGGAAAGGCUGUUGAAGGCCGUCAGCGAUGAGCGCAACGAGCUGCGCCGACUGUGGAACCAACUGAGUGGCGACUACAUCGCCCUGGAGCAGCGCAACGGCGCCUUGCACGCGCGGUGUGCCGAGAAGGAGCACGAAAACGCACGGCUGAACGGAAUGUUGCGACGCGGCGGUACGCCGACCACCCCAGCCGGCCCUCGUCGCAAAGACGCCGCUUCCUGCAGUGCCGCGCGAGGCCCACCCGCGAUCCCGGCAGCCGCGGAAGCCGCGCCAAGGCUGUCGGCGCUGGCAACGGCAGCGGCGCCGCUCGGGACCUCGGCCGAUCGCCCAACCUCCACAUUGGGGUCCGACUCUUCCUCUCCCUCGCACGCCAACUCCACCGAAGCCUUGUCGAAUCAAGUGCCCGAGUAGCGAGAGUCGCUCGACUGUCUGCCCGAUGGGAGGCAGACGGAGAGGAGGGGGGGGGGUCGGGCGGAGCUCGAUGUCCGGCCACAGCAACGCUGCGUGUUUGCCUUGUCCGUGGUGCGCGUGUCUGUGCGUUGUCGGUUUAGGGCUCAGUAUGGCGCUCUUGUGUUCUCUCUAACACAAGCGCACGUGGACACCUCCCCUCCUCCUCCUUCACCAGCACGCUUGGUCUUUUCCACUG